This is a long non-coding RNA of Mus musculus (house mouse), 603 nucleotides long. RefSeq annotates it as predicted gene, 53874. The record is from RefSeq and is a predicted model, not a curated record. Lineage: Eukaryota; Metazoa; Chordata; Mammalia; Rodentia; Muridae. The transcript is spliced from 4 exons.
ACAUGUCCCGCAUUGAAGGUGUGGUUAGAAUGAAUUGUGCCAAUAUGAGGUAAGCUACUCCAUAAUCAAGGACAAGUGUGAGGUGGAGGGCACGUGCAGGCAGUGCACAGAGCAUAGGCAGUGCACACGGGAGAGUUUCAAAAGGAAGGACAUGAUUGCUCAAGGAAAAGCACAGCCGACAGGUUCUCUGUGCAGGCAAUGAAGGCUCAUGACUCUAAGAGAAGAACAAAUAUGGUUUUGGUUUUGCUUCUAAAGUGGAAUUUUUUGGAGAUAAAGUAAAAACUGACAGCUAUCUGGUAAUGGUCCAUGUUCCAAGAAACUGGAAACUCAUGCUGAGGAAAGGCUUUCUGGAACUGCCAUAUGCCAGGCACUUGGGCUACAGGAUAAACUGGGUAUAGGUGAUCUUGCCCUCAUCGACCUUGCUGUCAAAAUAUGAUUCAAUCCCCAUCACCAAGAGCCUGUUCCAUUCACUGUUGUCAUCACCGGGGAAGACAUGAGGAACAAGAUGUAGAACUCUCAGCUCCUCCUCUAUGCCGUGCCUGCCCGGAAGCUACCAUGCUCCUGCCAUGAUGAAAAUGGACUGAACCUCUGACCCUGUUAGCC